CCGUGAUAGGUCACCUCAUCUGGAAGGAGAGACGGCUUAAAGGGGUGCGAGAGCUUCUUUCUUGCAUUCGCUCCAGGAUGGGACUGCGGCCGAUCAGGCUGUUGGCGGUGUAAUGGACCACCAAACCUGUAACCGGUACGGGCCUUGAGAGAGGGGGCCCGGAGAUGGACACUGAGAGAAGGGUCCAGGUCCUACGGGGCGCAGCAGGCGCGAAACCUUCGCAAUGCGCGAAAGCGUGACGAGGUUAAUCCGAGUGGUCCCCGCUGAGGGGAUCUUUUGUUGGCUGUAAAAAGGCCGAUGAAUAAGGGGAGGGCAAGUCUGGUGUCAGCCGCCGCGGUAAUACCAGCUCCUCGAGUGGUCGGGGCGAUUAUUGGGCCUAAAGCAUCCGUAGCCGGUUCUGUAGGUCCUCUGUCAAAUCCAACGGCUUGACCGUUGGCCCGCAGAGGAUACCGCAGGACUAGGAGGCGGGAGAGGUGGACGGUACUCGACGUGUAGGGGUAAAAUCCUUUGAUCCGUCGAAGACCACCAGUGGCGAAGGCGGUCCACCAGAACGCGCUCGACGGUGAGGGAUGAAAGCUGGGGGAGCGAACCGGAUUAGAUACCCGGGUAGUCCCAGCCGUAAACGAUGCAAGCUAGAUGAUCCGGUCGCAAAUCGCGAUCGGAGUGUCGCAGGGAAGCCGUUAAGCUUGCCGCC
RNAcentral lists this ribosomal RNA (694 nucleotides) under uncultured archaeon. RNAcentral describes it as "bacterial SSU rRNA". It matches the Rfam family "Archaeal small subunit ribosomal RNA", at positions 151 to 828 of the family's 1478-position model. The record is from RNAcentral.